UUUGAAAUCUGGCGUCUUUGGCGUCCGAGUUGUAAUUUGAAGAAGGUAUCUUUGGGCCCGGCUCUUGUCUAUGUUCCUUGGAACAGGACGUCACAGAGGGUGAGAAUCCCGUGCGAUGAGAUGACCCGGGUCUGUGUAAAGUUCCUUCGACGAGUCGAGUUGUUUGGGAAUGCAGCUCUAAGUGGGUGGUAAAUUCCAUCUAAAGCUAAAUAUUGGCGAGAGACCGAUAGCGAACAAGUACAGUGAUGGAAAGAUGAAAAGAACUUUGAAAAGAGAGUGAAAAAGUACGUGAAAUUGUUGAAAGGGAAGGGCUUGAGAUCAGACUUGGUAUUUUGCAUGUUGCUCUCUCGGGGGCGGCCGCUGCGGUUUACCGGGCCAGCAUCGGUUUGGAGCGGCAGGAUAAUGGCGGAGGAAUGUGGCACGGCUUCUGCUGUGUGUUAUAGCCUCUGACGAUACUGCCAGCCUAGACCGAGGACUGCGGUUUUUACCUAGGAUGUUGGCAUAAUGAUCUUAAGUCGCCCGUCU
RNAcentral lists this ribosomal RNA (525 nucleotides) under [Candida] sp. NR20-09-22. Its description in RNAcentral is "eukaryotic LSU rRNA". It matches the Rfam family "Eukaryotic large subunit ribosomal RNA", at positions 114 to 654 of the family's 3401-position model. Lineage: Eukaryota; Fungi; Ascomycota; Saccharomycetes; Saccharomycetales. The record is from RNAcentral.